AUUGAACGCUGGCGGCAGGCUUAACACAUGCAAGUCGAGCGGGGUGAUGGUGCUUGCACUAUCACUUAGCGGCGGACGGGUGAGUAAUGCUUAGGAAUCUGCCUAUUAGUGGGGGACAACAUCGCGAAAGGGAUGCUAAUACCGCAUACGUCCUACGGGAGAAAGCAGGGGAUCACUUGCGACCUUGCGCUAAUAGAUGAGCCUAAGUCGGAUUAGCUAGUUGGUGGGGUAAAGGCCUACCAAGGCGACGAUCUGGAGCGGGUCUGAGAGGAGGAUCCGCCACACUGGGACUGAGACACGGCCCAGACUCCUACGGGAGGCAGCAGUGGGGAAUAUUGGACAAUGGGGGGAACCCUGAUCCAGCCAGGCCGCGUGUGUGAAGAAGGCCUUAUGGUUGUAAAGCACUUUAAGCGAGGAGGAGGCUCUUUUGGUUAAUACCCAAGAUGAGUGGACGUUACUCGCAGAAUAAGCACCGGCUAACUCUGUGCCAGCAGCCGCCGUAA
RNAcentral lists this ribosomal RNA (503 nucleotides) under uncultured bacterium. Its description in RNAcentral is "partial 16S ribosomal RNA". It matches the Rfam family "Bacterial small subunit ribosomal RNA", at positions 30 to 523 of the family's 1533-position model. The record is from RNAcentral.